This 465-nucleotide ribosomal RNA is filed under the name uncultured bacterium. RNAcentral describes it as "partial 16S ribosomal RNA". It matches the Rfam family "Bacterial small subunit ribosomal RNA", at positions 28 to 507 of the family's 1533-position model. The record is from RNAcentral.
GACGAACGCUGGCGGCGUGCUUAACACAUGCAAGUCGAACGGAAAGGCCCUGCUUGCAGGGUACUCGAGUGGCGAACGGGUGAGUAACACGUGGGUGAUCUGCCCUGCACUUCGGGAUAAGCCUGGGAGACUGGGUCUAAUACCGGGUAGGAGCCAUCUUUAGUGUUAUGGUUGGAAAGUUUUUUCGGUGUAGGAUGGGCUCGCGGCCUAUUAGCUUGUUGGUGGGGUUAUGGCCUACCAAGGCGGCGACGGGUAGGCGGCCUGACAGGGUGGACGGCCACAAUGGGGCCGGGAUACGGCCCAGAACCCCACGGGGGGGAGGAGGUGGGAAUAAUGCACAAUGGGCGCAAGCCUGAUGCAGCGAAGCCGCCGUGGGGAUGACGGGCUUCGGGUUGUAAACCCCUUUCGCUAGGGACGAAGCUGUGUGUGACGGUACCUAGUUAAGAAGCACCGGCUAACUACGUG